RNAcentral lists this ribosomal RNA (431 nucleotides) under bacterium. RNAcentral's name for it is "partial 16S ribosomal RNA". It matches the Rfam family "Bacterial small subunit ribosomal RNA", at positions 355 to 776 of the family's 1533-position model. The record is from RNAcentral.
UCGAGAAGCUUCGGCAAUGGGCGAAAGCCUGACCGAGCGACGCCGCGUGAGCGAUGAAGGCCCUUGUGGUUGUAAAGCUCUGUCAGAGGGGAUUAACACUGAGCGGCGAAUAGCCUCUCCGUCUGAAAGUACCCUCAGAGGAAGCUCCGGCUAACUCCGUGCCAGCAGCCGCGGUAAUACGGAGGGAGCGAACGUUGUUCGGAAUCACUGGGUGUAAAGGGUGCGUAGGCGGCCUUGUAUGUCGGAGGUGAAAUCUACCGGCUAAACCGGUCAAAUUGCGUCCGAAACUGCUUGGAUUGAGUCCGGAAGGGGAGGGUGGAAUUCCUGGUGUAACGGUGAAAUGUGCAGAUAUCAGGAGGAACACAGGUGGAGAAGGCGGCCAUCUGGUCCGGUACUGACGCUGAGGCACGAAAGCCAGGGGAUGAAACGGG